GACGAACGCUGGCGGCGUGCUUAACACAUGCAAGUCGAACGGAAAGGCCUGCUUUCCCUUGUGGAUUGCGGGUACUCGAGUGGCGAACGGGUGAGUAACACGUGAGUGAUCUGCCCCCAACUUGGGUAUAAGCCUGGGAAACUGGGUCUAAUUCCCGAUAGGACUGCAGGGUGGUGCCUGUGGUGGAAAACGAUUUUCUAGUGGUUGGGGAUGAGCUCGCGGCCUAUCAGCUUGUUGGUGGGGUAAUGGCCUACCAAGGCGGCGACGGGUAGCCGGCCUGGGAGGGUGGACGGCCACAUUGGGACUGAGAUACGGCCCAGACGCCUACGGGAGGCAGCAGUGGGGAAUAUUGCACAAUGGGCGGAAGCCUGAUGCAGCGACGCCGCGUGGGGGAUGACGGCCUUCGGGUUGUAAACUCCUUGCGACCGCGAGGAAGCCACCUGGUUGGAAGGGUGGUGACGGUAGUGGUAGAAGAAGCACCGGCUAACUACGUG
RNAcentral lists this ribosomal RNA (494 nucleotides) under uncultured bacterium. RNAcentral describes it as "partial 16S ribosomal RNA". It matches the Rfam family "Bacterial small subunit ribosomal RNA", at positions 28 to 507 of the family's 1533-position model. The record is from RNAcentral.